GGGCUUGUGGUCUAGGGGUAUGAUAUUCGUUUCGCACCUGUGAAAGCUCAAACGAGCAAUCAGUAAUAGUUGCAUAUGAAAGGUCCCGGGUUCAAUUCCCGGCGGGUCCA
This 110-nucleotide transfer RNA is filed under the name Ustilaginoidea virens. It matches the Rfam family "tRNA". Rfam says of the family: Transfer RNA (tRNA) molecules are approximately 80 nucleotides in length. Their secondary structure includes four short double-helical elements and three loops (D, anti-codon, and T loops). The record is from Rfam by way of RNAcentral. Lineage: Eukaryota; Fungi; Ascomycota; Sordariomycetes; Hypocreales; Clavicipitaceae.